RNAcentral lists this ribosomal RNA (379 nucleotides) under uncultured eukaryote. RNAcentral's name for it is "partial 18S ribosomal RNA". It matches the Rfam family "Eukaryotic small subunit ribosomal RNA", at positions 592 to 976 of the family's 1831-position model. The record is from RNAcentral.
CAAUAGCGUAUAUUUAAGUUGUUGCAGUUAAAAAGCUCGUAGUUGGAUUUCGGAUGGGAUUUGCCGGUCCGUCGUUACGAUGUGCACUGGCCAGUCCUAUCUUGUUGUCGGGGACUAGCUCCUUGGAUUCACUUCCUGGGACUAGGAGCUGACGAGGUUACUUUGAGUAAAUUAGAGUGUUCAAAGCAAGCCUACGCUCUGAAUACAUUAGCAUGGAAUAACACGAUAGGACUCUGGCUUAUCUUGUUGGUCUGUGAGACCAGAGUAAUGAUUAAGAGGGACAGUCGGGGACAUUCGUAUUUCAUUGUCAGAGGUGAGAUUCUUGGAUUUAUGAAAGACGAACUUCUGCGAAAGCAUUUGUCAAGGAUGUUUUCAUUAA